RNAcentral lists this ribosomal RNA (301 nucleotides) under uncultured bacterium. Its description in RNAcentral is "partial 16S ribosomal RNA". It matches the Rfam family "Bacterial small subunit ribosomal RNA", at positions 509 to 807 of the family's 1533-position model. The record is from RNAcentral.
CAGCAGCCGCGGGAAUACAGAGGGUGCGAGCGUUAAUCGGAUUUACUGGGCGUAAAGCGUGCGUAGGCGGCUUUUUAAGUCGGAUGUGAAAUCCCUGAGCUUAACUUAGGAAUUGCAUUCGAUACUGGGAAGCUAGAGUAUGGGAGAGGAUGGUAGAAUUCCAGGUGUAGCGGUGAAAUGCGUAGAGAUCUGGAGGAAUACCGAUGGCGAAGGCAGCCAUCUGGCCUAAUACUGACGCUGAGGUACGAAAACAUGGGGAGCAAACAGGAUUAGAUACCCGCGUAGUCCCUGUCUCUUAUAC